This 502-nucleotide ribosomal RNA is filed under the name uncultured bacterium. RNAcentral's name for it is "bacterial SSU rRNA". It matches the Rfam family "Bacterial small subunit ribosomal RNA", at positions 903 to 1397 of the family's 1533-position model. The record is from RNAcentral.
AAAUGAAUAGACGGGGGCUCACACAAGCGGUGGAGCAUGUGGCUUAAUUCGAAGCAACGCGAAGAACCUUAUCCUGGGUUUGACAUGCAUGGAUUAGCGCCUGGAAACAGGCGUGACGCUCUUGUAGUGGAACAUGCACAGGUGCUGCAUGGCUGUCGUCAGCUCGUGCUGUGAAGUGUCGGGUUAAGUCCCUUAACGAGCGAAACCCCUGUCACUAGUUGCCAACAGGUAAUGCUGGGGACUCUAGUGAGACUGCCGGUGUCAAACCGGAGGAAGGUGGGGAUGACGUCAAGUCCUCAUGGCCUUUAUGCCCAGGGCUGCACACGUGCUACAAUGGCGCGCACAGAACGACGCAAGACCGUAAGGUGGAGCAAAUCGCUAAAAACGCGCCCCAGUUCGGAUUGUGGGCUGCAACUCGCCCACAUGAAGUCGGAAUCGCUAGUAAUCGCGGAUCAGCUACGCCGCGGUGAAUACGUUCCUGAGCCUUGUACACACCGCCCGU